UACGUAGGGCGCAAACGUUGUCCGGAAUUAUUGGGCGUAAAGAGCUCGUAGGCGGUUUGUCGCGUCUGCUGUGAAAUCCCGAGGCUCAACCUCGGGCUUGCAGUGGGUACGGGCAGACUAGGGUGCGGCAGGGGAGACUGGAAUUCCUGGUGUAGCGGUGGAAUGCGCAGAUAUCAGGAGGAACACCGGUGGCGAAGGCGGGUCUCUGGGCCGAUACUGACGCUGAGGAGCGAAAGCGUGGGGAGCGAACAGG
RNAcentral lists this ribosomal RNA (253 nucleotides) under uncultured bacterium. RNAcentral describes it as "partial 16S ribosomal RNA". It matches the Rfam family "Bacterial small subunit ribosomal RNA", at positions 524 to 776 of the family's 1533-position model. The record is from RNAcentral.